UUGAAAGGGAAACGAUUGAAGUCAGUCGUACCAGCGGNNAAUCAACCUUUCGAGUGGGGGUUUUGGAGUUUUUUGAAGAGUGUCAAAACCUUUGAGAUUUCAAAAUAUUCGCUCUUUUGGUGUACUUUCUCGUGGGUAGGUUAACAUCGAUUUUGAUCAUCAUAAAAAGAUUGGAGGAAUGUAGCUUCGAUCUUGUAUUGAAGUGUUAUAGCCUUUGGUAAAUGUGAUGAUUAGGAUCGAGGAUUGCAACGAAUACCCUUUUGGGCUAUCCGCCUGAUCUCUGAUACGUGGCCUUGGUAUCGAAAGCGUGCUUAUGGUAUUGAGGUAUUACGGUCAAAAGGUUAGAACGGAUUACAUUCGUUAAGGAUGUUGACGUA
This 377-nucleotide ribosomal RNA is filed under the name uncultured Glomeromycotina. Its description in RNAcentral is "LSU rRNA". Lineage: Eukaryota; Fungi; Glomeromycota. The record is from RNAcentral.